This 762-nucleotide long non-coding RNA is filed under the name Octopus sinensis (East Asian common octopus). RNAcentral's name for it is "uncharacterized LOC118766227, transcript variant X2". The record is from RNAcentral. Lineage: Eukaryota; Metazoa; Mollusca; Cephalopoda; Octopoda; Octopodidae.
AAUAACUGCGGGGAGAAGAUGGCAUAGACGCCCGGCGCUGGUCAAGUUUUGCACGUUGAUAUAUUUCAACGUUACAGAUUUUUGCUUAAGACAGCCUAUGUGUUGUUUGCUUUAUUCUUUCGCAAAGAUGUCAACAAAAGACGAAUCUGCCCAAAACACUGAAGUGGAAAACAAAAACCCUGAUGAACUUUAUGUGGUCAUUGAAUACUGUGAUGCCUGAGGUGGAUGGAAAGAGAUGAAUACUCUCCGUAAAGACAUCCAGAAGGAGUUUCCGGAAGCUAAAGUUGUAGACAUUGUUAGCAAGACUUUUGGUGCCUUUGAAGUUUCUGUCAAUGGUCAGUUUAUUCACUCUCGAAUUGAGUCUGGUUGUAAUCCUAUCCAUGAACAGAUUCUAUAUAUAUUGCGUGAUGCCAAGGCAGGUAAACCAAUCCCUACCAUUUCAAAAAAGGAAUAGGUUUGCUGAACUCUAUAACGCUAAUAUAUCUACAAGAAACUGCUGCAGUUAUGUUACACCUUAAACUCUCGGCAAUUUCAUUUGCUGCUUCCUUUAUGAUUUAAUCCAUAUUAGAGCCCUUGACUAUCAUACUUGUUUUGUGUAUCUUCAUGACACAGACAUAUAGCUAUGAUACAGACUGGCUUACAUCCCAGUAUCAUGCUACCUGUCUUGUUAUAAUGAAGAUAUUUAUCCAGUACGUGUUGCUACCCUUACAUGUUAUCCCACUCAAUAUGUGUCCAGUCAACAACAACAACAACAACACACUU